Molecule: long non-coding RNA, 557 nt
Filed under: Hordeum vulgare
Lineage: Eukaryota; Viridiplantae; Streptophyta; Magnoliopsida; Poales; Poaceae
Description: long non-coding RNA (HVUL_LNC017170)
Source: RNAcentral
GGAUGCAAACACUAGAGUCCCCGGCCGGGAGGAACAUCAAGUGAAGUGGUAUUAUAAGCAUCGGAGCAGCAGUAAAUCAUGCAUGCAGACAGCCUAUUGCCCGGUAGCUAGAUUCCAUGGGUCCGAGAAGGAAGAUCAGUCGGCACAAUGAAACCUUGCGCCACUGUAAACAAGAAUGGCCCACAUAGAGAAGGAGAGACCUGACGGUAGAAAAUUUAUCCACAUUAACACGACCAACACCUACCGUCAAAUAUGCUGACGGUAACCUGUACAAUCAUAUCGUCAAGGUGUCCGGCGACAGGUGCCAACCCGCAUUGUUUUUUAUGUUUAUUUAUUUAUUUACGAUAGGACGUGCAACCCUACCGCGAGGGUCCUUGACGGUAGGUUGUUAUACAUACAUAUAUAUACAAUUACAAUGGGGACAGAUUUAUUGACUGGUACCUGGUUGUUCAUAUACUCCCUCCGAUUCAAAGUUUUUCUGAAGAUUUCACUAAAAGCUACAUACAUGUGUAUAUAACAUACUUUAAAAUAUAGGUUCACUCAUUUUUCUUCGUGUG